Molecule: ribosomal RNA, 252 nt
Filed under: Dongibacter bovis
Lineage: Bacteria; Bacillati; Bacillota; Negativicutes; Selenomonadales; Selenomonadaceae
Description: Selenomonas bovis partial 16S ribosomal RNA
Rfam family: Bacterial small subunit ribosomal RNA
Source: RNAcentral
UACGUAGGUGGCGAGCGUUGUCCGGAAUCAUUGGGCGUAAAGGGAGCGCAGGCGGGAGAGCAAGUCUGUCUUAAAAGUGCGGGGCUCAACCCCGUGAGGGGAUAGAAACUGUUCUUCUUGAGUGCAGGAGAGGAAAGCGGAAUUCCUAGUGUAGCGGUGAAAUGCGUAGAUAUUAGGAGGAACACCAGUGGCGAAGGCGGCUUUCUGGACUGUAACUGACGCUGAGGCUCGAAAGCCAGGGGAGCGAACGGG